This 86-nucleotide transfer RNA is filed under the name Caudoviricetes sp. RNAcentral's name for it is "tRNA-Tyr". It matches the Rfam family "tRNA". From Rfam's summary of the family: Transfer RNA (tRNA) molecules are approximately 80 nucleotides in length. Their secondary structure includes four short double-helical elements and three loops (D, anti-codon, and T loops). The record is from RNAcentral. Lineage: Duplodnaviria; Heunggongvirae; Uroviricota; Caudoviricetes.
CGGGAAUCGGUGCAGCGGGUGAUGCACAUCAGACUGUAAAUCUGACGCUUAUAGCUUAGCAGGUUCGAAUCCUGCAUUCCCGACCA